GAUGAACGCUGGCGGCGUGCCUAAUACAUGCAAGUCGAGCGAAGCGGGGACGGGGGAGUAACACGUGGAGAACAUCCUAUAAGACUGGGAUAACAUCGGGAAACCGGAGCUAAAACGGAUAAUGAUAGAUGGAGGCGCGCUGCAUUAGCUAGUUGGUAAGGUAACGGCGUACCAAGGCAACGAUGCAUAGCCGACCUGAGAGGGUGAUCGGCCACACUGGAACUGAGCCACGGUCCAGACUCCUACGGGAGGCAGCAGUAGGGAAUCUUCCGCAAUGGGCGAAAGCCUGACGCAGCAACGCCGCGUGAGUGAUGAAGGUCUUCGGAUCGUAAAACUCUGUUAUUAGGGAAGCGGUACCUAAUCAGAAAGCCCCGGCUAACUACGUGCCAGCAGCCGCGGUAAUAC
RNAcentral lists this ribosomal RNA (405 nucleotides) under uncultured bacterium. RNAcentral describes it as "partial 16S ribosomal RNA". It matches the Rfam family "Bacterial small subunit ribosomal RNA", at positions 28 to 526 of the family's 1533-position model. The record is from RNAcentral.